This is a non-coding RNA of Bactrocera oleae (olive fruit fly), 1286 nucleotides long. NCBI's taxonomy places the organism in Eukaryota, Metazoa, Arthropoda, Insecta, Diptera, Tephritidae. The record is from RefSeq and is a predicted model, not a curated record.
ACAAGAACAAGCUGAGUCAGACCGGGUUGACUGCCGAAGGAAAGAGGGUGGAUAACAGUCCCAGCCAUCAAAGAGACAGAAGGAGUAAUUAGAUUUCCUUAAUGGAGUACAACCAAAGCAGAUAAGACUGAGUUUUGCUAGUCAUUGGUAGAAAUGUAUCGUUAUGUAGAAUGUCACUGAAUGUGACAGCUGUACAAAAAAAAUACGUCAAUAAAUAUACAUAAGUACGUUUAACUAUAGUUUUCAAGACAAUUUAACUGUUUUACCUGUCAUUACAUCGCUUACUCGCUCAGUCGAUUGCCUAGCAAAACCGUUCAGCCAGUUUAACACCGAGCAAUGGUUGCCUGCAACGCUUGGUGGUAUAUGCGAGGUUAAUUAAAAUUCCAAGUACAAAAAAUAAUUAUUUAUUUAUGCGCAAUAAGUUAAUAAUUAAAAUGCUAUCACAAUUUAUUUAGUGGAUGAAAAUUUCUAUAUAAAGAAUGUAACCUAAAAUCAAAAUGCUUUUGUUGAGAGAAUAAUAGUAAUGUUUUAUAAUUAAAAAUGGAAUAAAUGUAAGAGAAUACAUAUAUUAUCCUUCUUUUUUGUAUAGUAGAAUAAGUUCAUUUAGAAUACUGUAAUGUUUGGAAAAUAAAAGUUGAUCUUUGUACCAUGAGCCUUCUACAAUUUACUACAUGCUUGGCAGAGCUUCUCCUCCCUUUUGUGGUGUGCCACUUGACUUUUAUGCGACAAAUGGAUGAAUAUAGUGCCCUGCGAACAGGGCAUAUGAGAAGCUUAUCCCUGGGUUCAAACAUAACGAAACGCUCCUGAGAGAAGCUCGUCACUUAAAAAUUUUAACAGGGAUUGACUAGGUUAAAUAGACUAACUUAUAUGAAUUCUCAUAUGAAUAGAGAGAAUGUCAAUCAAAAUUGAUUAUUUCACUUUUAUAUAGUUUUAAAACCUUUCAAAUAUAAUUACAAAACACUUUAUAAAUUAUUACACCGCAAAAGCCUGUCAAUUUAUUAGCAUAGUAAUAUUUGUUGUUUAUAAUUUUCAACAGAUUUCCUAUUUUAAUAUUCAGAUAUCAAUUCACGAGUACAGAUGUAAUACAAUGUAAAUUUAAUAACUAGUAUUCAAUACCACACCUAUCUUAACAAAUUAAAACUGAGGCUCAUAGUUGUCACUCGCUUCGUGCAAUCUUUGAAUAUACUUAUAGUAAAUGCACACUGCACGUCCCAAACUAUUGGAAAAACAAAUUUAUGUAAUGGAAAAGAUUUGAUUACACUAUGGAACAAAUUGAGAGAUUUUUU